Molecule: ribosomal RNA, 415 nt
Filed under: uncultured soil bacterium
Lineage: Bacteria
Description: bacterial SSU rRNA
Rfam family: Bacterial small subunit ribosomal RNA
Source: RNAcentral
AGAUUGAACGCUGGCGGCAGGCCUAACACAUGCAAGUCGAGCGGUAGAGAGGUGCUUGCACCUCUUGAGAGCGGCGGACGGGUGAGUAAAGCCUAGGAAUCUGCCUGGUAGUGGGGGAUAACGCUCGGAAACGGACGCUAAUACCGCAUACGUCCUACGGGAGAAAGCAGGGGACCUUCGGGCCUUGCGCUAUCAGAUGAGCCUAGGUCGGAUUAGCUAGUUGGUGAGGUAAUGGCUCACCAAGGCGACGAUCCGUAACUGGUCUGAGAGGAUGAUCAGUCACACUGGAACUGAGACACGGCCCAAACUCCGUACGGGAGCAGCAGGUGGGAAUCGUUGACGCGAAGUGGGACGAAAGCCGUAGACCGCAGCCCAUCGACCGCGUGUAUCGAUGAAGUCUUAGGAUUAGUAAAUU